RNAcentral lists this ribosomal RNA (427 nucleotides) under uncultured bacterium. RNAcentral's name for it is "bacterial SSU rRNA". It matches the Rfam family "Bacterial small subunit ribosomal RNA", at positions 355 to 774 of the family's 1533-position model. The record is from RNAcentral.
UGGGGAAUAUUGGACAAUGGGGGCAACCCUGAUCCAGCAAUGCCGCGUGUGUGAAGAAGGCCUGAGGGUUGUAAAGCACUUUCAGUGGGGAGGAGGGUAUUUAGGUUAAGAGCUAGGAUACUGGACGUUACCCACAGAAGAAGCACCGGCUAACUCCGUGCCAGCAGCCGCGGUAAUACGGAGGGUGCGAGCGUUAAUCGGAAUUACUGGGCGUAAAGAGUGCGUAGGUGGUUUGAUAAGUCAUUUGUAAAAGCCCUGGGCUUAACCUGGGAGUGCCAGAUGAUACUGUUAGACUUGAGUAUAGGAGAGGGUAGUGGAAUUUCCGGUGUAGCGGUGAAAUGCGUAGAGAUCGGAAGGAACACCAGUGGCGAAGGCGGCUACCUGGCCUGAUACUGACACUGAGGCACGAAAGCGUGGGGAGCAAACA